Molecule: ribosomal RNA, 468 nt
Filed under: uncultured bacterium
Lineage: Bacteria
Description: partial 16S ribosomal RNA
Rfam family: Bacterial small subunit ribosomal RNA
Source: RNAcentral
GACGAACGCUGGCGGCUUGCUUAACACAUGCAAGUCGAACGGAAAGGCCCUGCUUUUGUGGGUUGCUCGAGUGGCGAACGGGUGAGUAACACGUGAGUAACUUGCCCUUGACUUUGGGAUAACUUCAGGAAACUGGGGCUAAUACCGGAUAGGAGCUCCUGCUGCAUGGUGGGGGUUCGAAAGUUUCGGCGGUUGGGGAUGGACUCGCGGCUUAUCAGCUUGUUGGUGGGGUAGUGGCUUACCAAGGCUUUGACGGGUAGCCGGCCUGAGAGGGUGACCGGCCACAUUGGGACUGAGAUACGGCCCAGACUCCUACGGGAGGCAGCAGUGGGGAAUAUUGCACAAUGGGCGGAAGCCUGAUGCAGCAACGACGCGUGAGGGAUGACGGCCUUCGGGUUGUAAACCGCUUUCGCCUGUGACGAAGCGUGAGUGACGGUAAUGGGUAAAGAAGCACCGGCUAACUACGUG